Molecule: long non-coding RNA, 216 nt
Filed under: Homo sapiens (human)
Lineage: Eukaryota; Metazoa; Chordata; Mammalia; Primates; Hominidae
Description: HSALNT0272489
Source: RNAcentral
GCCCAGGCCGUGAGAGGUUGCUCCAGUCUGUGCUCUCUGACCGUAGUCAGUAGUCACGGCGUUAGAUUUUUGCGGUUUUUGAUCUGGAAGCCACACAUCCUUAGCUUAAUUUCCACGUAUCUUCCAGACCCAGCCACCAACGUCAGGGCAGGUGUGCUUUUUUUUUCCCGAGGCAGAGCAUCUGCCCCAUCCCCCAAAAUUGUCUCUAGGCGUCCG